Molecule: unclassified non-coding RNA, 562 nt
Filed under: uncultured Bordetella sp.
Lineage: Bacteria; Pseudomonadati; Pseudomonadota; Betaproteobacteria; Burkholderiales; Alcaligenaceae
Description: partial 16S-23S ribosomal RNA intergenic spacer
Rfam family: Bacterial small subunit ribosomal RNA
Source: RNAcentral
AGUUCGAUCAUGGCUCAGAUUGAACGCUGGCGGGGAUGCUUUACACAUGCAAGUCGAACGGCAGCACGGACUUCGGUCUGGUGGCGAGGGGCGAACAGGUGAGUAAUGUAUCGGAACGUGCCUAGUAGCGGGGGAUAACUGCACGAAAGCGUAGCUAAUACCGCAUACGCCCUUCGGGGAAAGCGGGGGGACCUUCGAGGCCUCGCACUAUUAGAGCGGCCGAUAUCGGAUUAGCUAGUUGGUGGGGUAACGGCUCACCAAGGCGACGAUCCGUAGCUGGUUUGAGGAGGACGACCAGCCACACUGGGACUGAGACACGGCCCAGACUCCUACGGGAGGCAGCAGUGGGGAAUUUUGGACAAUGGAAACCCUGAUCCAGCCAUCCCGCGUGUGCGAUGAGGCCUUCGGGUUGUAAAGCACUUUUGGCAGGAAAGAAACGGCACGGGAUAAUACCCCGUGCAACUGACAGUACCUGCAGAAUAAGCACCGGCUAACUACACGUGCCAGCAGCCGCGGUAAUACGUAGGAGUGCAAGCGUUAAUCGGAAUUACUGGGCGUAAAG